This 852-nucleotide ribosomal RNA is filed under the name uncultured Arthrobacter sp. RNAcentral describes it as "bacterial SSU rRNA". It matches the Rfam family "Bacterial small subunit ribosomal RNA", at positions 68 to 934 of the family's 1533-position model. Lineage: Bacteria; Bacillati; Actinomycetota; Actinomycetes; Micrococcales; Micrococcaceae. The record is from RNAcentral.
GAUGAUCCCCGCUUGCGGGGGGAUUAGUGGCGAACGGGUGAGUAACACGUGAGUAACCUGCCCUUGACUCUGGGAUAAGCCUGGGAAACCGGGUCUAAUACCGGAUAUGACNCCNNNCCGCAUGGCGGGGGGUGGAAAGCUUUAGCGGUUUUGGAUGGACUCGCGGCCUAUCAGCUUGUUGGUGAGGUAAUGGCUCACCAAGGCGACGACGGGUAGCCGGCCUGAGAGGGUGACCGGCCACACUGGGACUGAGACACGGCCCAGACUCCUACGGGAGGCAGCAGUGGGGAAUAUUGCACAAUGGGCGCAAGCCUGAUGCAGCGACGCCGCGUGAGGGAUGACGGCCUUCGGGUUGUAAACCUCUUUCAGUAGGGAAGAAGCGAAAGUGACGGUACCUGCAGAAGAAGCGCCGGCUAACUACGUGCCAGCAGCCGCGGUAAUACGUAGGGCGCAAGCGUUAUCCGGAAUUAUUGGGCGUAAAGAGCUCGUAGGCGGUUUGUCGCGUCUGCCGUGAAAGUCCGGGGCUCAACCCCGGAUCUGCGGUGGGUACGGGCAGACUAGAGUGAUGUAGGGGAGACUGGAAUUCCUGGUGUAGCGGUGAAAUGCGCAGAUAUCANGAGGAACACCGAUGGCGAANGCAGGUCUCUGGGCAUUAACUGACGCUGANGAGCGAAAGCAUGGGGAGCGAACAGGAUUAGAUACCCUGGUAGUCCAUGCCGUAAACGUUGGGCACUNNNGUGGGGGACNUUCCACGUUUUCCGCGCCGUANCUAACGCAUUAAGUGCCCCGCCUGGGGANUACGGCCGCAAGGNUAAAACUCNAAGGAAUUGACGGGGGCCCGCACAAGCGGCG